UACUACAUCCGGUUUGUCAUUCGGUGUCAUGGCUGACGUGUGCUGAGGGAAUGUUUACUGUGUUGUAACAGUCGUAUGUACAUUGCUUAGGUCCAGCACAAUGUCUUGCCAGUUGACAGUUUUAUCAAGAUUUCAUGACAUUGUAGCCGUAAGACGUUUUUUAUUUCCUCAUCUUAAAGACAGCUCUCCGUUACCUUCUGGUGCAAGUGAUGCAGAGGGUGAAGAUGAGUGGGCACAAGACUGGGGCUGGGGUUCAGAUAACCCAGGCCCCAAUAUUCAGAGUAACAAUGCCAGUGUAGAGGUGGUGGAUGAAGGUGUUCAUAAGUGGUUACAGAGUAGCAUUCUCUCCCUUUCUCCAAACAAUGACAUAAUUGCCAUUGCUAAUGAAGAUCGUAUUUGUGUUCUCACACAAAAAUGGGAUCCCCAAAAUAAAGGGGAGGAACUAGAUACACUUCUGACAACAGUGUGGCAAGGCAAUGUCAGACAAGAAGAUGGAGAGUCUAUUACAGAUGUUAUGUGUCUCCCGCUAGCUUCCCACAAAAGAAGUACGCAGGGAGCUCCAGACUGGACAUGUGUCAUUAUUGGGAUGUCAUCAGGAUAUGUCAGGAUGUACACUGAGACAGGUGUGUUGCUGCUGUCACAGCUGUUGCACAUAGAACCAGUACAAAAACUGAAGUGCCGUACAUAUGAACCACCACGUUUUCUAGGCAUGGCAGAAAAGCAUGAAGAGUUGAUUAUUCUCUACAAGAAAGCAGUGGUGUCCAUCGAUGGCUUUAGUCUCAUUCAGUCUCUGAGGGCAUGCCGGAACCAGGUGGCCAGAGCUACAGCCAGCGGAUCUGAAAGCUUUGUUCAACCACCUCCCUUGGCCUACAAGAAAUGGGCACUUAAUGACCAGGAAACAAUCACAGAUCUCGUCACUUGUGGUGUAGUGAGCUCCAAUCCCUUUGACCAGAUGAAGAAUGCUUCCAUGCAAGGAGGAUUUAACACCAUUGUAAAGACAUCGCCUCCUGCAGCCACAGUCUUCCUAACAUCUGGCAUGGGGCCAUAUGUUGGAUUUUUUUAUGCUGUUGAGGGAACAAUGCAGCCAAUUCUGUCAGAGGUUGCCAUGGCAAUGGCACACAAGAUUAAGUCGGCACUUAUGUCUGCUGCUAGUGGAUGGCUGGGGUUUGGUGGAUGGCAGAAAGAAGAUGCAAAAGAAAAACCACCAAAGAUUGAGCCAGCUGCACCUCUUCCAUUACGCUUUGGGUUGCCAGACAAACGAAGAAUGGGACACAGCAUAGUGCUGUCCCCUUGUAAUACGUAUAUGGCAACCACCGACAGCUUCGGUCGCGUUAUCCUUGUUGACAUUCAGCAUGGUAUUGCUGUGCGGAUGUGGAAAGGAUACCGGGAUGCUCAGAUAGGCUGGGUUCAAAUCAAAGAAGAUGGUGGUAAGGGAGACCACUCUCGAGUGGCACAGUUUCUCAUUAUUUAUGCACCACGGCGUGGUAUUCUGGAAGUGUGGACUGCUGUCCAUGGCCCUCGUGUGGCAGCGUUCAAUGUCAGCAAGCACUGUGUCCUGGUCUGUCCUUCCCAUGGCAUGAUGGGAUUGAACAAUGUCACAUAUCAUACAGUCAAGCCUCAGAUGUUCCACUGUGCUCUGGUGGAUCCCGAAGGCUGCAUUAAGACUUUAGACAUACCUUUCCAUCUUGCUCUCAGUGAUAAGAGCAGCAAGAGAGCACGAGACUUGCACUUACUGAAGAAACUUAAAUCCAUCUUGAAGGAAGCCAACUGUGAAACAGAAAAUCUGAAAGCUGCUGUUAGAGAGACCUUCUUGGACAUCAGAAUAGCCAGUAUCAGCCAUCAGGCCCUCGAGAAGAUUCUGAGCACUCGCUACUUGUCUGUCAGCUUCAUGCAAGAGAUUGUGCAGGCUGUUACUGCCCGACUGGCAGCAAGAGGUGAGGAAAGCCUAGACAUUGACAGUCGCAUGCUUUUGCGAUUUGCCAGCACCCAGGCAGCGCUGUUGGAUAUGUAUGCAUCCAUUGUGAUGCUCUCAUCCCAGGGUGUUGCCCAACAAGCAGAAAUAUUCGAUGCAGAGACAUUGGAAGAGGUACUUGAUCUUCAAGAGAAAGAAGCAGCCAAUGUUGCUACAAGGGUGAAAGAAUUUGAAACGGCACGGAUCAGCUGUGGUUUGCGUGUAAGGUUUACACAUACACAGCUGCCGCCAACCUCUUUCUUGCACUGUUUCUCAAGUAGGGCUCAUGCCAGUGACACUGACAAGACUAUCACAACCAUCUCUAUCAGCAAAGAGGUCUCGGAAGAACGCAGGCAAGCUUUAGCACAUCUGCUGUUCUAUGGAUGUUUGAAGGGGGCCUGCAGCGCUCAAGAUAUUGGUCUUGUGCUUCAGCAGAGCAGUCUUGCACCAGAACAGUUGCUAAACCUGCUGUUGCUUCACUGGCUUUCUAGUGAUGAACAUUCACUGUCUGCGCUGCCCUGUCUUCGUGCCCUAGUCAGCUCUAUUACUGCAAUGACAGACAUGAUGGAAGUGCUGGUAGACCAUAACACUGUAUCUCCAUGGUGGCAGCGUGUGCGUGAUGCUUGCAGUCAGUGUGAGAACAGCUGCCCUGCAUACCUUGCCGCACUCACUUGUCGUAAGGUUGCAGCUAAUCUCAUUGGUCGUCAGACACAAGCAAAAGACCCUGAUGCUGAUGUUUCAUCAGACAAAGAAGAGGAGGAGCAAGGUGUGAAAGAUAUGAAUACCUCGGCUGAAAGCUGGGAGUCACUGGCUGUAGAUCUAGAGUUAUGGGACCUUUUAGUGUUGCAGCUAGAAGACACACUUGCUCUCAACACCAUGCUUCACAUGAACAUUCCAGCAAGUGAGAAGGAUGGUGACAUUGGAGGCAUGCCAGCUGAUCCAAUCAAACUUUCUGUUUCAAAACUCCUAGAAGGAGGAAGAGGGUCCAUAUCUGAGCUAGUUGCUCGCUUUGUGGCCAGCCAGAACCUUGGCCCUCACGCCCUCUACAACUUCCGUCGACAAGUCAGUGGGGAAAGUCAUGUUCUGCAAAGCCAUGGUGUGGAAGAAGACCUAGAAGACAAUGCAGCAGAGAAAAUGACUUCUCUCAAAAGAUUUAAGAGUCAUCUGGAUGCACUACGCUUACGUUUUCCCCAUAGCCUUGAAAAUGACAUCCUCAUUACAAACUGCUGCUGGGAGUAUGUUGUGCUAUGGAACAAAGAUCCAGAUGUUGUGAAACACCUGCAGAUGUCUGUGGAAUAUCUCAAACUUGUUCAGAAUGCUGUACUUCGGCAAGGAGUGUCCAGUAUGCUGUGGCACAUGUUUAUUCUCAAAAGAAUGUCGGCCAUUGCUAAUUUGAUGGAAAAGGUGGGCAAGUCGCCAAAGGACAGACUGUGUAGAAAAGAAGCAGGAAUGAGUGAACAGACCAUGGAGACUUUUGUGGGCAUCGUCGUGGAGCUUUUGGAUGUCAUCAUGGAUGUUGUCGGAAAUCAGGCCAACUGCGAAGCCAAUGAGGUACCAGUUUUCAACAUAGAAACCAUCUGGCAAGGAGCCCAUGGCCCUGCGUCCUUAGCUGAGCUUGCUGUGGAUGCCAAGCCUACGAACUAUGGCUUGGUCCGCCUGCACUGGCACCUUGCUACGCUCAUGCAUGCCAUCCUGAUAUUUAAAAUGAAAAGUGUGAAGGUUUUGUCCCUUUUUGACAGAAAGGGCCAUGCUGCUUUAUUCAAGGACUUGCACUCUCAUCCACUUUUACCUAAUCAGAAGGUGGAAGAGUCACUUGCUCUUGCCCGUAGAACAGUUUUAGCAGAGAUCAUCACAUAUGCUGUCAGUACACUGGAUCCUCCUCAGCCUUCAGUGGUAGAACCCUCUCUGGCCUCUUCACCACCAUCCAGGCGACAAAGGGCACAGCACCCAUUAGCAUUCCGCUGGCCACAGAUAGUGCUAACAUUAGCACGGGACUUUGGGCUUGACAUGGACUUCAUGAAGCGGCAGCAUGUGUGUGAACUGUAUUCUCAGGGUCAUGACAAACUUGCAGAGGAGGUACUGACCACAGUCAAUGAACAUGACCUAAUGGGAUCCCAGCUUUUGGUGUUGGCAGGACGCCGCCUGGCAUAUCGCUUGAUCUAUGAAAACCCGCGAGCCACACUUCACCUGUUCUCCAUCAUCACCCCAAACAUUUCUAGCUGGCUACGAUCACUAGAUGUGGAUCAGCUAGCAUAUAAAGAUGCCCCAGUCACUGACACAGCUGUCCUCAUCAACCGAGCAGCUAGCAAACUGGCUGAGGGAUCUGUGGAGCACGAUCGUGCCCUUGGCUUGAUUGACCUGGUUGAGGCUAUGUCCUGAAGAGGCCUAACAAUGGACAGUUGCAUGAAGAGCUUGCACCAUGAUGACACACUGGCUUGUCAGGAGAGACUAUAGGAAUGUUCACAGCUCGUUCCAGGAGGGCUAACUCUGUAAAGUUGAGAUGAACUUGCCUGAUGGUAGUUAUUGUUCUGGGGUGCAAUUGUGGUUUGUGCAGAUGAUAUUCGAUUUGUUGCCUGUUUAUCAUACCAGCUUCAGUUUACAGCAGAGGUCAUGGCCUAUGGAGGUGUUUGUGCUGCACUUUCAAAAAUAUUGGGCAUAGUUAGCAGUAUUUAAUGAGGUUUAAAACUGCUAGUUGAGAAAUGUGCUAAAAGCAGGCAUCAAGAGAGAAUAGACAUUUAAAACAGGCAUCGGUGUACCUUACUUGUGAUGAUUUUUCCUCUCUGCCUUCAGUGGCAGUCAUUUUAAGUCACUUCCUAUUGCUUUUUUAUUCCAUGAAAAGUAGCUGUUCAACAACCUAUUGUUGCAUACUUACAAACAGGCCAUUGUCAAUUUUAGAAUCACUUGAUGUUGUCUUUGUUUCAAAAUAACUUUUUAUGUUUUUACCACAUCUUAGAUUCGAUCAACUGAGAUUUUUGAAAUAGUUGGAUAUAAAACAGUUGGCCGACAGAAAAAGCCGUAAAACUUUUAAAAUCAUUUAAUGAAGUAUGGUUUGCAUUUUAAACCUUGUUUUAUUUUUGUGUCACCUGAUGUUGUUUCAAACAGAUGUUGAAGAUGUUUGGUGAGAAGGUGACUUUUUUUUUCCUUUUAAUGCCAUAUGUCUACCACAAAGCGAGUCAGAAUGAGUGUGUGGUGGGUAUGAGUGUGUGCUGAAUGAGUAUGGGAAACUUGCUAAAAGAAAUCAAUUUACAGGAUCUCCUUGUGUACUUGCAUUAAAGCCCACAGCCUUUGUGACAGUUGCCACAAAUGUUGAAGUGUCGAUGUGAAAACCA
This 5280-nucleotide unclassified non-coding RNA is filed under the name Pomacea canaliculata. Its description in RNAcentral is "rab3 GTPase-activating protein non-catalytic subunit- like, transcript variant X3". The record is from RNAcentral. Lineage: Eukaryota; Metazoa; Mollusca; Gastropoda; Architaenioglossa; Ampullariidae.